UACGUAGGUGGCAAGCGUUGUUCGGAAUUACUGGGCGUAAAGCGAGUGUAGGUGGUUGUCAUAGUCAGGCGUGAAAGCCUUGAGCUCAACUCAAGAAAUGCGCUUGAUACUGGGCAGCUAGAGGACCGGAGAGGAUAGUGGAAUUCCCAGUGUAGUGGUGAAAUACGUAGAGAUUGGGAAGAACACCAGUGGCGAAGGCGGCUAUCUGGACGGUUUCUGACACUAAGACUCGAAAGCGUGGGGAGCAAACAGG
Molecule: ribosomal RNA, 253 nt
Filed under: uncultured bacterium
Lineage: Bacteria
Description: partial 16S ribosomal RNA
Rfam family: Bacterial small subunit ribosomal RNA
Source: RNAcentral